AGAGGCAUGAAGAUACUGGGCUCUGCUCACCCAGAAGAGGCAGGGAAGGUCUCCUAUGUCUCUUCAGGUCAAGAAGUAACUUAAGCAUUUUUGGUAUUGUGACUUAGAUUUCAAGGCUCUCCCACAUUCAGGACAUGCUUUUAUAGACAUAGAAAAUAUUCAAAAGUACUCAGCAAUAAUUUCUAGUCUGCUGCUACUGUUUAAGUAACAAACAGAAGUGCAAAAUGGCCAACUGUUGCAUGACCCACCUGAGGUAGUUGCAGAAUCCCAGCCUGGAGAUCUGACUUCUCCUCCUGAGAUUUAAGCAGCAAGGGAUCCUUGCUACUGCACUUUGAUCACUUCCAUUGACAGUGUUACCACACAGAAGCACACCAUAGUCCCAGUAAGAUCUUCCUUCCUUUCCCCUUCCCUUUACAUAAGAUUUCGAAGAACUCACAGUUCCAUUUCAUUUUUGCCCAAGAGCUGUUAGUCUUAAAAGUUUCUAAAUUUAGGUUCACAGCCUUCAUUGAAAGAUAUCUGAAACCCUUCUAACAUAUCAAGUGCUUCAGAAACAGAUUUGUCAUACCUAAGGCCCCUUUCUAGACACCUUCAUUUUCACUGCAAAUAUGGAACAAAGUGGUGUUCAAAUCUUGAUCAGCGGGUUUCCACAUUUCUUUGCAUUUCAGCUCUGAUGCAGCAUUUGAACACAAUUCGAUUCCCCUGAGUGAUGAGUUUUGUUUUCACACAGUUUGAGGCUCUUCUGCACAAAGAUUGACUGUGACCCUCCCUAUAGUGUUACAACUCCUCUUACAAACUCAUUAAAAAAUACUAGAUAAGCUCAGUCCUGUACAGGAAAAUUGUAGGAAUGCAUUUGCUCUGUCUCACCAGCCUGUUCACAGCUAUGUCUCUUUUAAAGUCUGUUCUUUUAGCACUUCUCACUUUUAGCAUGAGGUCCACAUUCAAAAGGUUAUUGACAAUUUUUACUUUUGGCAUAAUUUCAAACACUUUGUCAAAAUCCUGCCAGACAAAAUGCAGGAUACACAAAAGCCAAACCCAGACAUUUUAUCCAGAGAGUACAUUACCUCACUCAUAAGGUGACCCUCACUGUACUGUCACUACCAGCUUACCCCCUCUCAACCCUUUCCCUGGGGAAGCAGGAAUUGUUCCCUGCACCACCUGUGCACAAACACCUGGCUCCUCUCUUGGAGAGGGUUUCACUAAGGCAGCAGGAUCUGUGCAGCCACAUGCAGGCAGCUGGGAAACCAGGACCUUAAAAUGUGAGCAGCUGCUGUUCCUGGUCUGGCUCAAUGUUAGUGUGGGGCAGGACAGCUGCCUGCAAGGCCACAUCUACUCUGCCAGAGAUUUGCUGCUCCUUACUCACAGCUCCCCUUUGCCUAAACAUCCCUCAGAUUUACUACACGGAAACUCACAGCAGAAGUCAGCUGUUGUCCCUCUUUACCUUUGUGCGGUGCCAGUGAAAAACAAGGUUGUUCUGGGAAGAUGCCAUGUAUCUUACAGCCCUCCUGAGGUUACCGGCAGUUGGGGUAGGCAGAUGGCCCUCCUGAGAGAUGUUAAUAAGGACUGGGAGCAGGGAGGAAUGAUACAAUGCCGCAAUUAACAAAUGACAGAGAGGAGCAGCAGAGCCUACAGAAGUUCCCAAUCUACAUAAAUAAUCUAAGGGGCAUGAGCUUAAUAGCUGAGAACAUAUGCAUGUUAAUUGCAUAUUACGCUGCCAGAAUGGGGAGAAAAAACCCUCCUUGUUCAUAGAACUGCCUCUGUCCUACCUCAGUGCCCAGAAAGGAACUCUAUAAAGCUCAGCACAGUGUCCUUGCUGUGCCAUCCAGGCAGUGGCAAUUCUGGCACCAGUUGACUCUCACAGCCCCCAACAGGGCUGCUAUAUCAACACUUAAUACAGUAUCUUUAUACCUUUUCUGCAAGGGACCAUCCACACUGCAAGAGGCUGACAGUCUCUCUAUCCCCAUGAACUUCCUACCCUCUUUAAGGACUGGUGUACCUUGGAUCCUUCAUCCCAGUUAACAUGAUGUUAGGACACUUCUCUCAGCCCAGAGGACCAUGGGAUCUGGAACUGCCUGACCUCAUCACUUCCCCUCAAUGUGCAGAUCCUCUCCUUCCUCUGCUGAUGUAGCUGUGCAGCUACACUUAAGGAGAGGAGGGAGGCAGACAUAAAGCAAUGUGCUUUCAGGUUUCCCCUCCCCAAACCAUUGCUCGAGGCUGUGCAGGUAAUAGUGCUAAAGAGGAGGGGAGAGCAAAGGCAUGGGACACGUUGAGCCACAGACGAGGCAGACACAAGGAAUACAGCUGCAUUAGUGGCUGCUCUUUAGGUAUCAUUUUGUGCUGCGCAUAUUUGACAACUGCAAAAUUAGAACAGCAGUAGAGACUGAAAACUGCUGCAAAAUUCCUAAGCCCAGGAAGCAAAGGUAGAGUCCUGAUAGAGGCUUGUGCAACAUCAGGCAGGUUCAAAUUAAUCCUUGAAAUAAUACCUCUAACUUCUAUCACAGCUUGAUUUGUCUAGGACUGCAAGAAGGCUGCUCAAUAGAAAGGUUUAAUUUAAUUUACGUCUGAUUUCUCUGGUGUACAUCAAUUGCUUAUAUGUGACCAUGAAUUUAACAUAAUCCUGAAAGCAGUUAUGGGAUAAAAUAAACCAUCAACUUGCUGGCAUAAGGAAAUACUGGUUUAGAUAUUCCCACUAUUAGAAUCAGUUCUUUUUUUAAUACAGCACUUUCAAAGCAAGAAAGUAAACAUGAGAGCAAAAUAAGUGGCAAGCACAGCUCUAGAGAGACCUCAGUUUAUCUGUAGGAAGAAGACAAUGGUACUUGGUGAGUUUUUUUGGGAUGCUCAGGAGUAAAGUAGAUAUCAUGUAGGACACACUAUCCAAGACAGCUGUGCUCUCACAGCUGGGAUCAAGUCACCAGCCCGAGACAUUUUCUGUCCUCUCCCAACCACAAGGAUAACUGUUUCCCAUGACAAAGGAACCUGCUGUCCCAGCACCAGACCCUACAGCUCUAACAGUGGUGCAUUCUCCUAAGCCUGCUUGGCCUGCCUUGUUUGCAGGUGGCCUUUGAGACAGUAUCAGAACAACCCAGCACAGCAUGGCAGUGCCAGCAAAAUUCACUGGGAGAUUUGUUUUAGCAAAGUCUAAAAAUGCAAAGAAUUGCAAGCCUGAUUCCUUGAAGGUUCAGGAUUUAAUGAGCACACCCUGAGUGAACUUCUCCCCCACCCCCUGCUCUGUACAGCCUUCUGUUGUUUUAUUUAGUUAUUUCAAACCCUCCUCUGAUGUUAAAGCCUUUGAGACAACUUCAUUUAUCUCCCUAAUACUCUCAAAGUCUACUCUCUAUUUUCAGAUCUCAGUUCCUCUGACACAUUCUGGCCUUUUCCUAGAAUGCACUUUAAAGAGUAUUCCUAAAGUUUGCCAUCAAUCGACCCUGCCUGAGUAAUAUUACAUUUCUAAUUAUUCUACCCUGUAUAAUGCACUGAAUUUGCUUCCUAUUUCCUUUGUCCAGGGCUCUUUUGAUUUCUUUUUUUUUUUUUUCCCAAAAACCCCAAAAACUCCUCUGCCUCCUUUUUCCAUCUAGCCAAGAUGAACUGAGUUUUCCUUUGUUCCAUUCUUGUUCUAUAUUGAGAUAUUCUUGCCUGAUUUUAUGUUAUACAUCCAUCCCAAGGCAGUAAAAAAUCAUCAUCUUCUGCUGUAUUGUGGUACACAAUACAGUGCCAAAAUGUCAGAGAGCAUCCUACACAUCAGAGACUGGAGCCUAGAGGAUUUACAGGAAGAGCUGGGAUCACAGGGGGACAUAGACCUUUAUUUGCAGUGUCGCUUCUGGGUGCUUCUAUGGUCAUUCCUACCAACCACACAUUGUCUGCAGUUUGGUACAUCCUAGCGCAACCCUCACAGCCAGCCUGGCCAGAGGCAAGUGAGGAAGGGGGCAAGAGGAAGGAAAUUUGGGUUGCACAAGUAGACUGAAAAGAGAAGGACAAGCACAGCAUGAGGUGGAUAAGGGACAGGGAAAUCUGGAAUGGAGGGGCAGCUGACAGGAGGCUGGUCCACAGGGUGGCUGUGGGAAGUGGGAUGGGAGGUGUCCUGCAGCAGUGCAGGCACGAGCCAGGCUUUUGAGAGAGGACUUGGUUUUCAGAAUCAGCAGCUGGAGUUGCAUCUUCUGACACCUUUAUAGACUCCACAGGGCACUCAUGGACCUUGCAAAAUGCUUCCUUUCUGCUUCCCUUCUGCUUCCCAACUACCUCCUUCUGCCCUGCUCCAAGAAAAAAAGUCAUGCUGGUCCUGCCAGCCAGUAACUACUCACCAGCCAGCUCCAUUUCCUGGGGACCAGAUGAAAAAAUCCUCUUCCUGGAGUCACAACUGUGCCAUAUGCUGCUGAGCCAAUGCUGUUCUGUGCCUCAGAGAUGGACACACUUCACACAGUGACAGUAAUACUCUUUCAGAUGAAAAUACAGUUUACAAGAGGAAGUAAGUUAAUUCAUAAUUAACUCGAGAUGCCUGAGCCCAAGACAAGGAACACUUUUUAACUGGCAGCCAGAUGGCUUUGUGGGCUCUGUUCCUUAAACCAUUUAUCAGCUUUUCAUCUCAGAGACUGCCAGUCAAACAGCAGGCCCUGAAAAUUAUCCUACCACCUCUCUGGGAGGGUAUUUUUGUAUAGAGGUCUUGUUGGAUUUCCAAACUUUAUGUAAGUAGCUUAAUUUACUACAGCCAGACUUUCUUUACUAAGGGAAUGUAGGACAGAGACUUCUGCUUUGCAUGGAAGACACCUCUUCAGGGUUGCAGCUUUAAGAUUUCCUUCUCUUCCUUACCUAAAGGAAAAUGAAAAGUUUUUCUUUGAGCCCCCUUGUGUCUGUUACAGACACAACUCUCCACGUCUUUGCUCUUUGGUGUGUAUGCCUUUGUAACAAGCUCUCUCACAGCCCUGCAGUCUCCUUGACCUACUGUUGCUAGAAACAUAUUCUACUGGAACUACUAAAGAUUUCCUCUUCUGUACACAAAAUUAAUACUCUUCCUAGAGGAAAAUCAUAGCAAUGAGCAUCUUCUGCUGUGCACCUCUACACAGAUGCAUGUGAAAAUGCUGACUUCAGAUAUGAAGCAUUUGAUGCCCCAUGCAGUGUUGAUUCCAGAAAGUCAGAUUUUAAGGCCCAUGGAAAUUUCUCUCCCCACCUCCUUCAUGGCAGAAGCCAGAAACUUCUCCCCAUGAUUCCUGCAUUUGAGGCCAAAGGACCUGCAAUCAAAGGAGUUGCCCAAUUAUUCCAAUGGUUACAAUGCCUUUAUCAUUACGGAUCAUUUUAUCAUCAAAUUGUCACGGGAUGCUACUCUGCACUGCUCUGCUACACUGAAGAGCCAUCAAGUUCUGUUUUUGAUCAUCUUACUCAAUUUUUCUCUCCAUGCUUUUUCAAACGAAAUGGAUACUAUAAGGGGUUGGGUUUUUCUGUUUUUUUAUAGAAACACUUUAUUGCUGCAGUCAAUAACCCUGUGUAUCACACACAAAUAACCAAUUACAGUUUAAGAAACUAAAAAUAAUUCUGCAAGUGGUAAUACUGAGAAAACGAACAUACAUGAAAGGAUACAAAACUAUACAUUAAGUUACUAGAAAUUUAAUAACUAAAAAAUUCUGCAGAAAUAUGAAGUGUCUUGUAUAAACGUUAUACAACACAUGCCAGUGUAAAGUUCUUCAACAUUAUACAAUUACCUAUCUACAAAUGUUUUACCUAAAUACAAGAUUAGCUGCAAUUUUUAAACAGUUAUCUUCUAUACAAAGACAAGUGCUUUCAGUACUUCAUUGGAAUAUACAGACACCGCAAUAUGUCAAAACUAAAAAAUAAUCACAAAAUAAAAGGUCCCACUUAGAAAUUUUCUUAGUGUAUCUAAUACAACACUAAGGAAAUCCAGCCAGCAAUAUCCUUGCUUUUGUAUUUACCCUUUUUGACCCAUAUCUGAGAGGGACCCAACCCAGAGUCACUGACCUCCCCCCUUUCAUUGCUGGCCAGUCUCCAGAGCAGACCACACCAGAAAUCCGUAUCUUAACACGCAUCAGCUUUAGGAGAAAUUUGGACCUGGUUCCUACUUUGCAAUAGAUACAUAUUCUGCCACACACAGGGCAGAAGCAACCAGCUCCUGUGCAUGGUGAUAUCCAUGCAUCACUUCCAAGGUUUCCCACGAGAGGCAGGCCGAGCAGCCCCCUUCCUUACAGCACCAAGUGGGCCUCGUGCUCUGAUCAGUACAGAGGCUUGGCUUGAACAGAGUUAUGACUGCUUGCCAGGAACUCCCAGGUACAGCACAGAGGCCCAGUACUUCUCUAACUGCUCGCAGGCUCAUUCAGACUUCACUGAAUGCCUCCUUGCUGAAGCAAAGCCCAUCUCAGUGACACUCAACCAGAGGGAACUGUCCCAGGGUCUGGCCAUCUCUUUUUAAACACCACUCUCACUCCCAAAACACAGGCUUACAGUUGAAAAAAGUCCUGAGAAUCCACAGGAAUUUAGUAUCUCAUCAGCUCUUAAACAGGAUCAACCUUCUGCAGCACACACCUAUAUUUCUAACAUCAUGCAUGUUCAUGACCUGGCAGAUUCAUCAAAUGUGACACAGCAGGGGAAUUUUCUUGGCCCAGAUGGUGUCUUUUUGGACAGGAGUGCUGUCAAUAGAAUGGGGUCGAUUAUCUGGGGUAUUGGACAUGUCAGCAAAGGCUCUGGCAGUCUGGGGAAGGGACUGUAGCACAUGGCAUUAAGCCUAUGCUCUCUCCUACUUAAAUUCUGGUCUCAGGAAAGUCUCACGGUAACCCAAGCUAACAUUGGCCAAGGUACAAGGACCAGGCUUUUAUUUCAGUCAUUUCAAAAGCUGCCAGAAGGAAGUACUAGAAAGCCUGAUCUAACAGGGGGUGAUUGCUCCCCUUACUGACAUCUGAAUGGAAAGGACAGAGCUCACCUGAGCUGGCAUCAGUGCCUCACAGCUGGAAGCUGAAAAAAGUCAACAAUAUCUUCUUGAGGAGAAAGAAGAGAAAAGCACCAUUCAGCCUUCUCAAACAUUUGAUGGCACCAUGCAGAAGCAGAGAACUGCAUCUCCAGAAGCCCACCAUUAACACCAAGCAAGAAUCAGCAUGAGAAAUGUCACCAGAAUAAAUGAAACCCCCUGACAGAUGGAUCUCUUCUGCAGCUUUUCCUGGUAUGAGCAUUCCUAAGCAGUAUAAAGAGUUUAAAUAAUAGGCCUUAAUUUUCAUUCCAAAAAGAACUGUUGGGAGAGGGAAUUGUUAGCAGCAACACUGGCUAAAACAUUUUCAUUCACAAGUAUUUUUCCCCGGGUGAUUUUGCUGGAGAAGAUUUUUCUUUACAAGUUAAGAUACUCAGGGGCACAGCAGAAACCUUCAGUACCCUGAAUACACUGAACAACACCUGGAACAUUCCACAUGCAGCUUCCAAAACACUGAAUGAGAUUUUGCAAUGUUUCACCUAGAAUCAUGUACAACAGUGACUGAAGCAGAACCGGCAAGUUACAGUGUGCUGUAUCUAUCGGCCAUGUCAGAACAUUGCUCACACCUCAGAGCUGCUCAGGUGAGCUGGAGAACAGCCAGGUUUCACACAGGACUUGGCCAUCUUCAUUGCAUCGGCCGUGUCAGAACACUGCUCACACCCCAGAGCUGCUCAGGUGAGCUGGGGAACAGCCAGGUUUCACACAGGACUUGUCCAUCUUCAUUGCAUCGGCCGUGUCAGAACACUGCUCACACCCCAGAGCUGCUCAGGUGAGCUGGGGAACAGCCAGGUUUCACACAGGACUUGUCCAUCUUCGUUUCACCCGCCGGCUGCAGACGGGAUGAGCACGUGCACAGCAUCGCUCGGCAGCUGAUCCUGUGCACCUCGCAGCUGUAACGUGAGCAUCUCACAGACAGGCAGGCCUGUGCACUUGGGCAUUUCAGAAGGACAUCAUGAAGGUGUGCAUGACCUUAUACUUAACCCACCUGAGUUUAUCUAGUGAAUCUUUCACAGAACAAAACAGAAAACAAAACGAGACAGUGUAUUAUCUGGGUUCUCAAAAUAGAAGAGGAUCACCCACAGCAGAGUUCAGGAAAGGUCUUGAGUAAUUGCACUUUGAAUUAUGGCAGGCACAGGCAACAAACUCUGCAUGUGUAUGGUCACAAAGACUGCCCCAAUACUAGCAGGGAAUGCAGGGUUUAUCUGCCUGUAUCACUUAAGCAUGGGACAUCCUGACAGCUAGUACAGUACACAAAUCCAUGCCAGUGCAGCUUUACCAGGACUGCCCAGAGGUCUGGAUGUUUUAACACAUCUCAAGAACAAGGUACCACAUUGUUCAUGAAGAUCACAGACAGUAAGCUUCAAGCAUGAAGUGACAGAGGCACACGUGCUUUUCCUCUAACAGCUUCUAGAAACCACUGGGAUAAGUGUUCUCUUACCAGAGUCCCUUCUCUGCCUUCUAUUAAAAUAUUGAUUUAGAAAUAAAUUAAUAUUACAUUUUAAGGAAAAAAUCCCUGAUCUCUUACUGUUAUAUUUUAAGAAGUCUUAAAGCAGCUGCUUUUACUACGAAAAACUGUACCCAAAGUUGUACUUCAAAAAUACUAAGUGAAACUUGAACUAGAGCUAAGAAUUUAGUUCACUAUCUCAACAAGUAAA
Molecule: long non-coding RNA, 8613 nt
Organism: Motacilla alba alba
Lineage: Eukaryota; Metazoa; Chordata; Aves; Passeriformes; Motacillidae
Exons: 2
Source: RefSeq, a predicted model, not a curated record